UGAAUUUCGGGGUUAGAGGGUUGGUCGUGCCUUGGUAUGUACUGGCUUAUACGGUUCUCACCUUCUAAAGAACCAUGAUGUCAUUCAUUUGAUGUUAUGGGGAAUUAGGACUGUUACCUUGAAAAAAUUAGAGUGUUUAAAGCAAGCUUACGCUUGAAUACAUUAGCAUGGAAUAAUGAAAUAGGACAUCAGAUUCUAUUUUGUUGGUUUCUAGGAUCGAUGUAAUGAUUAAUAGGGAUAGUUGGGGGCAUUAGUAUUCAAUUGUCAGAGGUGAAAUUCUUGGAUUUAUUGAAGACUAACUACUGCGAAAGCAUUUGCCAAGGAUGUUUUCAUUAAUCAAGAACGAAAGUUAGGGGAUCGAAGACGAUCAGAUACC
This 376-nucleotide ribosomal RNA is filed under the name uncultured Glomus. RNAcentral describes it as "SSU rRNA". It matches the Rfam family "Eukaryotic small subunit ribosomal RNA", at positions 635 to 1016 of the family's 1831-position model. Lineage: Eukaryota; Fungi; Glomeromycota; Glomeromycetes; Glomerales; Glomeraceae. The record is from RNAcentral.